GAUCACAUAGUGCUCCUGAAGUGAGAGUCCAGUGUGCGUUCAUGUUUAUGAGCACUGCUCAUAGAAGCUGGCCCUGCAGCGAGAGUAGAUGGAGGCUUGGCUUACAGUCAGUCCUACAUGGAUUUCUUUUUCUUCAUGGACAAGGAGUUUUUGCGCUCUCCAUUCUGAGGAUGAGACUGCAGCAUCUCAGGUAGAGGCUGCUGUUAAAUCGGAUGCCAGACUCUCACAGUUCUUACCAGGGCUGAGGUAUCACCUGCUUUUCUUUGGGCAUGAGAUGGAUUGAAAUCACAGUUUCCUUAUGCACUUUUUUUCUGAUGUUUCAUCACAUCUCUCUGCUCUCAGGCAAGUUAUUAUGGCUGAUGCAACAUUGGCUGCAUGAAACUUGGAGUGGAACGGCUUUGUAGAGUAGUUAAGGAGGAGGAAGUGAUGGGUAGAUUGGUCGAUUGAGAAAGAUGUAGUAUCUCAGUCCCUGGAAGCUUUUUGGAAGAGGCUGGCUCUGUGCCUCAGCCAUGUUACACAACAGUGGAACCUGUUUUAAGACAGAGCGUGAAGUUGUCUUUGCACCAUUCUUUCAUGUCUACUUUGCAAAUAGUAUUUGCUAAUUAAUUGGUAGUGACAAAUGCUCAUGGAAUAUUACCAUCAAAGCAAUAUUUGAUGGAUAUUUGAUGUAAUAACCAUCAAAGAAAUAUUUGGAAGUAGUUGCUCCUGGUGUACUGGGUUUGAGCUUCCAAACAAGAGCUCCAACUAAGUGAGCAAGAAGAUGACAUGUUCUCUUAGCUGUGGGUACCUUUUGCUGAAAGGGUGUGAGCAAUAAACCCAUGCAGAAACCGUUAUUAGUCCUUGCAGGCUCUGAUGUGGUCACACUAAACCACAGGUUUGUUUUAUAAGUGAAUGCAGUCACUUUGCUUUCUAAUAUUUGGCUGGCUUUAGAUAUGAUUUCCUUUUUUCCCUUCUUGUUUUCUUUCAUGAAGCCAACAUUUAUCAUUUUUUUGAGGUGUUUUAAUCACUAGAGAGGAAUGCAUGCUUCUCAGAAACUCAGAAGAUGUUUUGCUCUUCAGCAUUGUCUCUCCCCUGCAUAUGGACAAACAGGAGAUCUGGGUAAAGAGAAUCAGUCAUGAGGCUGAGGAGAGCUACAGGCAUGAAAGAAAGCCUCUGAAGAGAGUGAAUGGAAUGGCAGAAAGGCUGCAUUUUUUUCUAGAGAUUUGUGCAUUGCAUGAGAAGGGAUAAUCCUGCUGCCUUUUCUGCAGCAGGAGAUUGCAAGUUUCGUUUAUGUUUUGCUUAUUUUUUGUGACCCAGAACGUGUUUCUCAUCCCAGCUCUUAGCUCUUCCUUUGCUGAGUCUUUUGAUUUUUGUUUUGUUUUGUUUUUGUUGUUCUUUUCCUCCUCAGCUCUUCACACAUGAAGCACAAAGCAGAGGCCAGAUGAGCCUGCUACCCCAUUUGACAUCUUCACAGCAUGACUGAUGCUAUCUGGGCUUUGAAACAGAGGCAGCUGUGACACAGGGCCUCCCCAGCAGCUCUCCUGUCCUGCUUCUGUUCCAGCUUCAUGCAUGUUUUCAGGGCAGCAAGCCUGCUCCUAAUGCCAUGGCUAUGGCUUCAGGCAGCCAGAAGUCAUCUGCAGUUUGCCUCCUGUGACACUGAGUCACAGGGAAGAGGAAUAUCUUGUCUCAUAGGAAACACUCUGGCUUCAGGCUUCCUUUAGCAUUUCCUCACUUAAGCACCAGUUUAGCAAAGCAUUUGAAUAGAGUUCAUUCUGCUGCUGUCUACACCUCACCACUCCCCACAGUAUGACAGUGGAUGUUCUCAUGGUGCUGAUGGUUGUUUCCUGAAGAAGUGUCAACUAUAUGAGGUGGAGUCGGUUGCUUUGGUGUUCCCUAUUUAUGAAAAAUAUUAAAAAUACUUCAUGAAAAAUCAUGACUCUGGUGGCAGAAACUUUCUUCCUUUUCAGCUUUUGCAAGCUUUGUCAGUUCAGUAGUGCGGAAAUAUACAUGAAUGAUGGAGAGAGGCACUUUUUUUGUCCACUACCAAAAGAAAUGCAACAUUCUGGGGAAAGAAGAAAAUUUCUUGUUGCUUUCAUCAGUAAAUGAAACUUCAGAAAAAGUCUCUCUUGCACACAUCAUUUUGGAGGAAACUUUCCACUUAGCCACAUUCUUGGGGGCGUUGGACAGGUCUGCCUUCACCUUGGUACAAAAAUAUCUCAGAUGUCCAAAACUGCCCUGGAAACUUCACUGGAAUAGCCUUUCCUGUGAGAUUUCUGCUUCCUGGGCUGGCAGUGCAGCCAGACUCGGUGAGAUUUCCCCGGCACUGUAUGUCAUGCUGUGGCUGCACGGUAGCUCAACUCUAAGGCUCCUCCUGAGCAGAUGCAGAAUCUACUAAGACUAAGGUCAACUUAAAUACCCAAGAUUUUCACAAUCAAGAGUCUUACUAGUGGCAAUACUUUAAAACCUUCACAGGUGAAAGCAGCCUUUAGAUUCUUCAAUCUUAUGAAAAAAAAAUUAAAGUAUUGCAUCAGAGCCAUAGAGAACUAUGUUGGGAAAACUAAGAAUACAACACCAGCCAUGUCUGGGCAGUAAUGCUUCACUCUGUUACUGUCAGCUCACCUCUAGCAGGUAGUGCAUUUGGGGCUACACUGACAGCAUCACUCACGCAUCAGGUGCUCUGGAUGGUGUUAGGGGCCAUUGGAUGCCUGUCUCAGGCAUUGAGGGAGAGGACAGUUCAGACAGCCUUCUUGUUUUAUUUCCUCCUUUCCCAGUCAAGGUACUGAAGUCCUGUAGCUCCUCCUGAGCAGAUCUGGCGUGGGACUCAGAGCACUCAUUCAUUUUACAUUGAUGCUUCAAGCACCAUUUGAAGGUAGUGGUCCUGGUGGCAUUCGGGGUGAUGUCAAGUCCCUGUAGCCUCUUUCUAAAUGCUUGGUGCCUACUGUCUCUCUUUCUGGGAUCUGCUGCAUUGCAGACUGUGUUUUAACAGAAUCUGCUGGGCUGGAAGGUGCAGCUGUUCCAAUCACAUUCACAGAAGGCUGAUGCUAAACAUAAGCCCAUACUCUGUUUGUUCUUCUGUGAUGCUUAUAUAUCUUGUACUUUGUCUGGGAAUUCAGAUUGUGUUUCUUGGCCUGACUCUGUCGUAUAUAUUUAAUCCUGGUUUCUUUACUCUCUUGCAGAGACUUGCUAGGGAACAGGAAGCAAAAGGAGAGUCUUGGUGAGACAACAUGUAGGGAGAGCUGACAGCCAGCCAAAAGCCCCAUCCAGCUACAAGAAGUUUGUAAGCAGAAUAGCACCUCAUCAUUCUUCCUCCAGAAGCUUGGGCAGUUGGACAGGUUUUCCAUCCUGCUAGGCUAGAAAACAUGGGGUGAUUAUUUAGACAAUAUGGUGAAUAUUACUUGAUAAUUGCCUUGCAGAGAGAGCUGCCGAUAGGGGAGAGGGGAGAAAAAGUCUGGAGGCAUGAAAAGGGGAACACUUGAGCUAAAUCGGUACUGGGUAUUUGGAGUCAGAUUCCUGUCCUUUUCCUGUGCCUGCUAAUUCUAAGUCCAAACUAGAACAGGUUUGCCUACUUUUACAGAUGGAUCUGGGAGAUGGAGUGCAUGUCUCAGGCUCAGCCAAAAGCACAAAGUUUCCUAGGCAGUGAGUGUAGUCUGACUGCAGGACUGGCUUUGUCCUGGUUCCAGCAGGUCCCAGCUUUGAUCCUGUCUGGUGGUACUUCUACACUGAGAAGUACCUGGAAUUAAAAACUUAGAGAGUCAUUUGGAAGGUAAUUAGCACAGGAAAGGAGAGACCUGCUACUUGUUUCUUACAUACAGGUCUCACUAUCAGUUCUCUUAUGGAAAAAACAAAAACAAAAAACCUCCAGAUGUUGCCAACAGAACCAAGGAAAAUAGAUUUGUUGGAAUUAUGCCAGAUAGGCUGUGAAACCACACAGGGAAAUAUCCAUCACUGGAAAAUAACUCUGAUCUACAGACAAGGUAAGAAACAACUUUGCUAUAUGCUUUGUGUUACACUGAGGAGAGUAUAGAGCUUGCUUUUCUUUGUAUGGGUCCGUGUGUGAUGAGAUGUUGAUUCUGGCUUUGGUGAUGCUUAGGUUGCAGGAACCCUGAUCUGGCCAGUGCCAGAGUCCUGGCAGUGUGGGCCAUGUCCCACAUUGACAAGCUCACUGUUAGGCUGCAGCAUGAUUUAAUUCACGAUUCACAAACCAGAUGCAUAUUUCUGUCUGUGAGGAAAGAAAGCAAUAUAGAUCAAUGCUAGAAACCUAGCAGUCCUAGAUCAGAUCCAACAGUUCAGCUAAACGUAAUGGGGCUCCUUCCCCUUUGCUGUUUGUUUUGCCUCAUCCCAGCACACAUCCCGAUCCCGGAGAAGGGGAACUCCGUGGGAUGACACUUUUCUGCUGGGGAAGUCUGUUCAAGCUUCUGUUCAGAUCCUCAGUGCUCCACUUUGGGAUACUGAGCCGUCACUGAGGUCUGUCCCACACAGCUGAUGGCACCUUGUCCAGAGCAGAGCCCUGUGAAUGCACUGAUGUGGAUGCAACGACCUCUGUCUCCUCCUCCAUUCUGCCAAAGGUAUGGAGGAUAUAAGGGCUUGAGAAAGCAAGUUGUAUGCAUGUGAGUCACUCAGCGUGUGAAGUGUUUGCACAGUCAUCCCAGGAUUUUCCACCUAGUCUUUGAGUUGGGUUAUGGAUCAAAAGCAGAUGAGUCUCUCAUCUUGUGAACUUUUGGGAAAAAAUAAAGGAUGUGAAGGACAUCUGAUUCAAUGCUAUCCAAAAUUUGGUAGCUGCUCAGUGUUGGUGCAGAACUGAAGAUGUGGUGCUUCUACUUGGAGAGAUGGGAUGUCACACCUAUGCCAUGUACUUCAGAUGUCCAGGUGGUGGUGCUUCCGCAGGAAAUUCUCAUCAAGAGCCGCAUGCACAGAAAAUAUUUGAGGGCUCUGCAGUGAAAAUAAAAUGAUACAGAAUCCUUCUGGGAGGGCCAGCAUCAAAGAGGUGAGUAGAGGUCAGGCACACGGAGAGGCAAAGCAAUUAGAUGAUUACUUACGUGCAUCCUGCUUAAGGCUGUCUUAAGGAUUGUUUGGAAGGUCUUAGACAGUGGUGUUGCCACAAGUUCUGGAGUGUUUUUGAGAUACAGAUGGUACAAAGUGGGAUGGUACUGUUCAUGUGCCAUCUACUAUACAGCAGAGGCUGAAGAGCUUUUCGACAGAAAGUUUUCCUUUCAGGACUCUAUGUUGCUGUUGAAAAUAAAUACAGAGCAUCUUGUUCCAUUCUUAGAGGGAAACGAGUACAGUGCUGUCUGUACCAUGGCUGCUACGCUGAUGGCCACUGUUGAUUUCCUCGAAGAGAAUGUUAAUAGCAAGCUUCAGUUCAGAGGCAAUAAUCUGUAUUUCUCCCACACACUGCCAGAAUGUGGGCAAGGCAAAGAUUCCUCUCACAUUUCUCACUGCUGCUGGACCAAUCAAUGGCAAUGGGAAGUGCUUAUGCUGUUGGCCUGUCUUCUGGGCAGGGACUUGGAGUGGACACAAUAAAGAUGAUACUGAAGGUAAAUGCAAGCUACCAGGCAGAAGCAACUCUGAGACUGCAGGCUUUUCUGCAGCCAGAUGAUGUUAACAGAUCCCACUCUCCACUGCGUGCUUUAGAGGAAGGGACGGUCUUCGUAACAGGCUAAAUUAAUUGAUUCAUAUUUGUGCCAUAAUCAUCUCUGGAGAGAAAUUUCUCAUUUAUUAUCAUAUGUCCAGAAGCAUUCACAAUGAAUAGGCCUUAUAGUUUUCAGCAUACCUCAGACAUUUGGUUGUAUCUUCAGAUGGUGAAAACUGGCAUUGCUUUGUUGCCUUUCCAAGUCAUUUUGCAAUGAUUGAAGAUUGAAACUUUUGUGGCUUUGUGCCGUAUGUUCUUUCUAAAGGGAAAUGAAUGUACAGUUGUCUUUUAUUUUGCAAUGAUCUUCUAAAGUACUCAGUUUAAAGAUUGGGUGUGCUUGACGUACUUUCCACCAAUUUCUUUCAGAUUAAUGAUCCUCUGAUGCCUCUCACAUGACUGGGAGGUCUUGAGCUUUGAUGGAGGAGUCUUUGAACAACAAGGGAGGACUGGAAAAUCUGGGGAACUUCUAUUUUAGAGCCUUAAAUAUUGUAUACUGAUAUACUAUCCUACUGUUGAGCUGUUUCAGUAUUUCUAAUCUCAAGGUCAUUUCAUAAUAGAUACGGGAAUGAUUCUUGGUUGACUUUUCUGCUGUUUUCUCAGCUUCCUGGGGAAGACCAAGACUCCCAGUACCUUCCUUUCAAAAGCAUCUAAGACUAGGGUGCUUCAAAUGAACAAAAUAGAGAACCAGGCCUCCCCCUCUACCCUCCCAAGAAAAGAUCUCACCCUGAAGCCUUGGUAAGAGGGCUGGCAGGCACAUGUUUUUCCAUCCCUCCCUUUCCUCUCGGUGAUAAUUAAAAGCAUCAGCUGCUACUCACUGUGAGCAACGGUUUAAACAUUCCUCUCACAGGUAGUGGAAACAUGAGUUGUUCUGGAGGCCUAUCGAAACUGGGAGUCAACUUCCUGCAGAGUCAGGCUUUGGACUGGGGAAAUGGGUUGUUAGCUGGGCAUACUCCAGAGGAUCCCCAAACUGAGAGCACUCUAGAAAGCUGGAGGAGUCUGAAAGCAUUGACAGGAACAAACUGGUUUGAAAGACACUAAGCGUUAAGGAGGAAAAGCUUGAAUGCUGAUAGUGUUUGAGCUCCAGUGCCCAGAAGUAUUGCUACCUGGAAGAAAGAGGCCAGCAAUUCCACAAGUAGCAGCAGGAGUCAAAUCUACUUUCUAACAUGUCCUUCUGGGAGCUCUCCAGGGCCAUCAGCCUUUGCCAUAACAGGGGCACUAACAGAGAUUUUCUGGUCUGUUUGGUCACUGUUUUUCUUGCUAUUCAUAUGGACUUGGUAUCUUGGAGGCCCGUCCUUCAAAUUCCAGUAGAAGUUAGGCAACAGUUCCCAACAACUCCCAGAGGCAACUGUGCAUGUGAUGUGACUGCACACAGAACAAAAUCCUCGUGUGUUGGGAGGAAUGGCUGCAGACCCCUUCUGUGGCAGCUGCCACUUUCAUAGGCCUGAUCUUCAGGAAGAAUCAACUCUGAAGGGAAAACGAUGACUGCCCUGUGAUGCACUGUGCGGCUGUCAGUGAUGUUUCACUUUGAGGUAGUCAGCAACUCAUGUCAAAGUUCUUGCUUGCACUUGAUGCUGCCUCAGAAAGGCUGAGUCACUCUUCACCCUCAUUCACCCUGGUUACAUAUGUUUACUCUGUGGUUGUGUGGUGGUUGGGAAAGUCCUCAAGUACAAGGAAAGACAAAUCUGGCUUCUUCCUAAAAACUUAGUCCUACUGCUUUUAUAAUGAGAAAGCUGGUUGACAUGUCAGUCCCAACAUCAGGGCUUGAAACACAAUGUAGUUUUGCCGUCUGCUUGUCCUCAGGGAUCUGAGCUCCAAAACAUGAAAUACAAAUUAUAUUUAUGUCAAAACAAAAUAUCAAGGAGUACCCUCUUGGUUCCUGCCCUGUAACUAGGUCUCCAUCAGUAUGAAAGAAUGAAAUGAACAAUUUUCUAUUUUUCACUCUGGAGGGUGUUUCAGCCGAAGUUUGCUGCUUGCUUCUGUCUGUGUCCAUGGAUGUCUAUGAAUCUUGAAUCUCUCAAUAUUUGCAUGGGUUAUGAGCAGUUGCGCAGCUAAUUGCUGGCAGCAACUGAAGUGUGUUUAAAGUUAUUCUCUGGUAAUUUGGUCAUGAAAUUGUCCUCAUCCAUAGGAGCCUUGGUGCUUAACUCUUUGUAUUGGUUUCAAGUUAUCUUCAACUUCAGUCACCACUGGUAUUUCUGAAAGUUAAAAAUCAGUCAGUCGUUUAGUAUUCAUUAAGCCCUACAUUUUUAAACAGUGAAACCUCUACAAAAGCAUCUCUGAAAGCUGUCUCACAAAAAUAUGACUACUAAUAACGAAAUUUUCCUGCUGGUAAGCAUAAAUCAAUGCUUUCUUAGUAGCUUUGGAUGAGGAUCUUAAUGGGGCCUAUCAGCAUGACUCCAUUUAAAGUUUCAGUCGUUGUAUUACCUGGGUGACCACAGAUGCUCCGAAGGUAACUUCAGAAAGGCUUAGGAGAAUAUGGGUUUAGCUGAAAUUGGGGCGUGGUGACAGAGGUUAAAGUCAGUCAUGUGCAGCUUUCUGGGAUGCACAGAGACUAGGCUAAUAUUUUUUCUGGCUGAUGGCCUAUUGAUCCUCCCAAGUCUCCUACAUUCAUUUUCUACUGGUAGGCAACAGCACUCACUCCUGUCACACCUGGCUUAGGAGCCAUGGAAUAAAAAACUCAGCCCAAGAUGAGAAACUUAAAAAAAAAAAAAAAACAGUGUAUGAGCUGAUGGCAUUAGGAUAUUGGGACAGCAAAAAAAUUGGGCAGCUGCACUACUUCCCAGUCACAUAAUUCAAUUUCCUCUAGCAACUGGUGUAAUGCAGCUGCUUGAGAAUCUCACCUUCAUUAUUUUGCUCCUGUUUCAAAGCUAACGGUAAAAGAAAAUGACAUUCAUGAAUACCCUAUGGCUUAGGAACUUGAGGAAGCAGGAACUGAGAGCUUUAGGCACUUGUCUUCCACCAGCUGUCCCAAAGGCCAUUCAAGCUGUAAAACCCUUCCAUCACUCUGGCUACUGAUGCCACUGGCAUCACCAGAGAAAGAUCAAUCGGGCUGAAUUAUCAGAGUCAAAGACAGAGACAGCUCUGGUGAGAAGCCCUUGAGAAAGUCUCAUGUCUUAACACCUUACUGCGUGGGAAAACUUUCCUUAACUUUCCUACUGCGUAGGAAAUAAAAGGGGGUUUGUGUGUGAGGGGUGGGAAUGCCCCGUUUCUCAUUAUUGAAAUGCUUGGCCUUGAAAGACGGUGGAGCCAGUGUGCAAAAGAUAAAUCAUAUUAAUGCUGUUUGUUUCUCUCUUUUUGCCUUCCAGUGUUGUGCUCUGGCAGCUAGAGGCAAAGGGCUUUGCACUUCAGCUGUUAUUUAUGGCUACCAGUAAAUGUACCGGUUGUUGUUGUUGUUGUUUACAGCAAGACAGAGAUAGACAUGGGGAAAUGGAAAAUACAGACUCCAAAAAGUGGAAUUUAAGAUGGAUACUUACACUUCAAUCUCAUAAAAGAGUUUGACUCUGCUCCCAGGUGCCUCCUGAGCUGCUCACUUCAAGAGAUGUCAUGAAACAGAGCUGUCACUGGGGCUGACAACUUGACUGUGCCAUGGAGAAUGAGUAUGACUGGUGGCAUGUGUUCAUGCUGGUGGCGGGGAGCAAGUGGACCUGCCAGCCUAGAGUGGAGCGCAGCAGGCUCGGGGCUGUGCGUCCUCAGAACAGAGGAGUAGCUGGGAGGCAUCUUGGGUCAGUGUGAGCAAACAGCAGUGAUUUGCAUUGUACUGUGAGAUGUACUCGGUGUGCUUCAAUCACCAGCCCUAUCUGAGGGCAACAUUCCGAUCAGAAAGAAACUCAGAAGUAUUUUCUGUUUUGUUUUGUUUUGUUUUGUUUUGCUUGUUGGAAGUUGGGGCUUUUUGUUGUGUAUGUGUGUCCCACAAGUAGCUAUUUCUUGCUGAACUAUUUUUUUUUUUUUGAAGAGGAACCAUGCAAAAUGCUUACAUGUUGCUAACCUAACGUGCACUUUUCCCACACCUCUACCCUAAAGCCUGCGGUGUGAUUUCUUGGAGUGUUAUGCAUGUUUCACUGGGAUUUCAGGAAAGAAGGCUUACCAAGAAUCCAACCCCAGAAAAAGACCUCAAAAAAAUUCCAGUUUCAUGAAACGUUUCUCAGAAGGCAAGAAACAUUCCCCUGCCUCCCUCCUUGUGAUUAAACAAGGAUGAGUGGAUUUGCAAGAUGCAGCUUGAUGGAGAAGGAACCUGUGUGCACUGCUGUUAAGCUGGCAGAAGCCAGCAACUCCCACCUAUGCCUGCAGUGAACCAGGACUGGGAACAUGCCCCAGCGAGAGCUAAGUGAGACCUGAACAAGAAGAAAUAGGUAUGUGCCAGGGUCUUAAUUCCAUCUUCAGGGGGAACUUGGUACAGAAAUCCAGUGAAAAUGUAGGAAAUAGCAUUCUUUUUGGACCUAUGGGGAAAGUUUAACACCAUCCACCAAGAUGUUAAUUAGCAGGUGAGUGAACUUGAAAAAAAGAAUGGCACAACUCAAAAUAUUACGUCUGUAUCUUGACCUGAGUGGUCUGCUAGUGCCAAGCUGGCCUGUGGGAGGUUGCUCAAGCUACUCCGGUAGCAGACUUUUAGGAGCACUGACACAAGGCACAGCUGCAGCACAGGUGAUGCACACCUCCCUCUUGUGCAAUUCCAUCAGUGACUACCUUGCCCAUCAUCAGAUUUUAUUAAAGUCUUUCAAACAGCAUUAAAAAUAAAAAGAACGGUUCCAAUAA
Long non-coding RNA from Numida meleagris (helmeted guineafowl), 10357 nucleotides. RefSeq lists it as uncharacterized. The record is from RefSeq and is a predicted model, not a curated record. NCBI's taxonomy places the organism in Eukaryota, Metazoa, Chordata, Aves, Galliformes, Numididae. The transcript is spliced from 5 exons.